GCUUUUUUUCUGUCUUUAAUAGCAUUGUGAUUUGGGUGUAAUGUGGAGCAUUUUUGUGUAAAGCUGCUUCAAAGCUCAGAGUUCAAGCUUGAUAUAUAUUAGUACAAUGAAAAAGAUUUAAAAGAUGUGAUGACCUGAUUGGAAUUCUAAUCCCAUCUGAAAGAUACACAGGGGACUUUGUGAAGCCCUUUGGUUUGUCUGCAGCAGCAGAGGAGCUUGAGGGAGCUAAGGCAGAGACGGAAGACUGCAGCACCAGACGUGAGGACCAAGAAGGUAUGGAUGAGGGAAGCACAGGAGAACUUACAGGACUGCUUUGAAUCAGUGGACUGGACUGUAUUCAGGGAUUCAUCUUUGAAUUUGGAUGAGCCUUGGGACAUGUAGGCAUUGGCUGUAUUACAUGCUGAGGAUAUUGUGAAAAUAUUUUAAAAAUCCCUAUUUUUGACAUGGAAGGAGGAUCAUUGAUGACACUUCAGGAAGAAGAAUGUCAACCAGGAAACCAGGAUGAGUUGCAGAAGGGGUUAACAGUCAUGAGGACUCAUGUUAAGUCUCUGUUAAACAGUCGUGUUUGAAAACUCAGAGUUAAACUUCAGGAGGACAGUAGCCCAGAGAAACUAACAUUUUUCAGAGAAUCAGUUGCAAACUUGUGCAACCUUUAGAAAAAGACCUGCAAUAUAUUUUUCCAACUGGUUAUGUGACACUCUAAAUCAGAGGUUCCCACCCUGGGUCCAUGGAUCCCUCAGUUAAUUGUAUGGCUCCAUGGCACAAAAAAAGUUUGAAUCCCCUGGUGUAAAUGAAUAUGGCCUUUGAUGAUGCUGGGCUUGGAAUGGACACUGGGACAACAAGAAGAUCUUGCACUUACAGUAGAUACAACAUCUAACAUAAUGAAACUUGCAGUAAGGGUCCCUCAUCCAAUACUAUUUGUACAUCAUUCACUUCUUUAUGACAUGGUUGGCUUCUAAUUAUUCAUGUUUUCCUCACUAAUAGAUCACCUUACAUGGGAGGGUGACAUUACUGAGAAAUUUGUAGGGGUGCUGUAGUCUCUGAGCAAUGAUUGCCUAGAAAGAGCAACUCUUUCCCCCUCCUGCCAAAGAAAUAUAUUUCUCUUGCUUUCAACUAUUGCGCUCUUACAUUCUCUCCUGAGCAGGAAAGACUCACAAGGUUAUGUGAUGUCUUGCAGUGUUGAGACCCUGUGUGGCAAAAUUAAUGCUCUUUGCUUGACUCUGCGUGGUCUGUCAUGUAGGGUCAGUACAACUAACCCUCUUGCUAGUCACAUUGGCUUGCACUUCCAGACUUAGAGAGUAACUUUAAAAUCUACAGAGCUCCAUUGUAGUCAACAUUAGCCAGUACUCUGCAUCAAAUUGCCUGUUAGCUGACCUGGCAAAAACUCUAUUUAUAAAGCACAAUACCAUAGACAUUAUUGAACUGGUUGGACUCUGUUUCCAAGUCACUUAUAUUAAACUGCUUAUCUAUUAUUCAUUCCCCAACAUUAGUAUCGCAUAUCGUGAUGCAGGAACUUCAAAAACAAGUAACAGAUUAUUGCUUUCCUUUGUAAAGUCUGUUCCAUCCAAGAAUGCUGUGCUUGGUGCUUUCUUUAUAUGGCAAAAAACCCUUCACAUCAGCAUAAUGCCAGCUAAAAUAAAAAAACAUCACUGUAAAAAAAAAAAUCCAAUGGAAGUACAGCGCAGUAAGCACUGAACACCAUAUUUGGCUACAUAUCAUGAAUCAAAACUCUUGAAAAAAUUUCCAGUACAUCAAAGGCUAUUUUAAAGUAUCUCCUGCAAGUCAUUUUUUAGAUUUACUCAAAGUAUUGGAAGCAUCAUAGAACCUAUUCUCCAUGGGCACUCCCAUGGGUCAAGGCUGAUAUUUUUCAAGGCAUAAAAUGAGCAACUGGAGGAACUCAGCAGGUCAAGCAGCAUGUACUGUAUAGCCCAGAUGAAGGGUAUUGACCCAAAAUAUCAAUUUGUCCAUUUCCCCCUACGGAUGCUACCUGAGCCACUGAGUUCCUCCCACAGUUUUUUUUUCUCUCUAGAUUCCAUCAUCUGCAGCCUCUUGAACAACACAGACUGGAGACACUCAGCAGGUCAGGCAGCUUCUAUCGAGGAGAGUAAGCCAUCAACAGUUUCAGGGUGUGAGCAUUCAUUAAGAGUGAGCUGCAGCAGAAGUGGUGGGUGGGGAUUCGUUUUCAACAUUUAAGAGAAGUUUGAAUUAGUACCUGCAAGGGAGGGGCAUGGAAGGUCAUUGUCCACAUACAGGUCUAUGAGACUGAGUACCCUUUCCCUUAAUCGACCAAAAGCUGUGCUGGCACUUUGAAGAAAAUUGUGAAUUUCGUCAUCAAAUUUCGACUUGACAAGUAUGGCAAUGACCAUCUUUGUUAAUCCAAGUAUAAGGUGAGAAGACAAUGGGAGAACAGUAAAGUACAUUUGGAAAAAAUGGACAAUAGGAUAUUGUUUACAGUAUCAGAAGAGAUCAUGCCUACAGUUUCAAGAUUCACUCUUCUUGUGCAGAAAGUAUCUUCCUCCAGAUGCAGUGUGUAGUGUAAAUGUCCGUGAUGGCGGGAAGAAAGACCCCGAUGAUCUUCUCAGCUGACCUCACUAUCCACUGCAAGGUCUUGCGAUCCGAGAUGAUGCAAUUUCCGAACCAGGCAAUGAUGCAGCUGCUCAGGAUGCUAUCAAUACAACCCCUGUAGAACGUGGUGAGGAUGGGGUGGGGGGGGGGCGGUGGUGGGAGAUAUAUUUAUAAUAUCAGAAAAUAGCAGUGAUUGAAAGAAUAUACAAUAUUUUAAUUUACAAUGUUUUACCAACUCAACUGUUAAAAAUUAAUUGAUAUGUGAUAGUUGCUUGGGAAUAAUCUAUGUUGAGAUCUAAACAAUCUCAAACUAUUUUGUUGUUUGCAUGAUCAAUUACUGUUUUAAUUUCAAUAAAUUAAUUACAUGAAUGCAAUGAAGUCUACAUUUAAAAGUAAAUUGAGGAGAUAUUUCACUUUCAAUUGUUUGCCCCUUUUCAAUAAUACAUACAAACUGUAAAGAAAUUUAGAGGACUCGAAGUAAUUUGGUCCAUUGCCUGUGGUUCUUUGAAAGUCCUAUUCAUUUAUUCACAUUCAGUAGAGCUUCUUUUCAAAUAUUUCUCCAGCUGCAUCAUCCAUAACCCCGUUCCAUUUUACAUGUGUAUUAGGUUGAUGGACUCCUGCUCCUUCCCCUACAAAGAGUUUCUUCAUUUUUCACCACUGUUUCUUACAGCCUCUUAUGCAAACAGAAUACCAUCUUCUGCCUAAUAUGUCUAGUCACCAAUAUUUUAGUUACAAUUGCAUCAACCAAAGAAAAUAAUCUUUCCUUUCAUAAGCAAACCAUUUUGAGUACAAUUUCAGCAAAGCUCUUCUGUAUUAUACUCUCAGCUUCCAAAAGUCAGCCAAUCAAAACCAUAAAUGAUUUUGCAUCAUAGUUGGAAAAAUAAAUCCAAACUACAGAAUACUCCAUGUACAUCGAAUUUGGUCCUCCUUAAUCUUGUCUAGCAAGCAGAACAAUUCUUAUCCAUCGAUUUGCUUUUGCUGCCUGGUCUUACUGGAUCUAUGCUUUACCUGUCUGUCAUAAAAUAUUAUGUUGAAACAAACCAUCAUUAACAUGGAUUUUUUUUCUUUUCAGUUUUAAUUCAAUCCCUAAUCAUGUAGUCUUUUUUUAAAUAAUUUUUUUAUUGAAUUUUUGAAUGGUUACAGAAGGAAAAAAAUAUUAUCAACCCUUUCCACCUCCCCUUAACCCCUCCCCCCUAACAUAUCCCUGUAGAAAGAGAGAGAAAAAAAGAGAAGAAAAAAGAAAGAAAGAAUGCCUGGAUAUCCCCACAUGCUCCAUGGAGUUCAUAAUAGCUUUAGUAUAUAUAUACACACAUACAUACAUAUAUAUAUAUAUAUAUUUCUUUCCCCAAAUAACCAAUAAUUUUAUCUUCAGAGCACCUAUAUAUUUAAUCCUAUCUUCUGUAAAUAAGGGUGCCAAAUUUUCAGAAAUACUUCAUAUUUAUCUCUUAAAUUAUAAGUAAUUUUUUCAAGUGGAAUGCAGCUGAAAGUUUCAUUCUUCCAACGAUCUAUACUUAAGUAUGAAUCCGAUUUCCAAGUAACUGCAAUAGCCUUUUUGGCUACUGUCAAUGCAAUUUUUAUGAAUUCUUUCUGAUAUUUAUUCAGUUUGGAUUUCGGUUUUAUCCCUUCAAUAUCGCCUAGUAAAAAUAAUGUUGGAUUAUGUGGAAGUUGUGUUCCAAUAAUUUGUUCCAAUAAAACUCUUAAAUUUGUCUAAAAAGGUUGAAUUUUAAAACAAGACCAAGCAGAGUGUAAAAAAGUACCAAUUUCUUGAUUACAUCGGAAACAUUGAUCAGAUAAAUUUGGGUUUAAUUUAUUUAUUUUUUGUGGUGUAAUAUAUAAUUGAUGUAAAAAAUUAUAUUGCACUAAUCUUAACCGGAUAUUUGUUGUAUUUGUCAUACUGUCAAGACAUAGUCUUGACCAACUUGUUUCUUCAAUUUCAAUAUUCAAAUCAGUUUCCCAUUUUUGUCUUGACUUAUGAGGUAUAGUAAUGUCAUUUGAUCAA
Hypanus sabinus (Atlantic stingray) is the source of this 4564-nucleotide long non-coding RNA. RefSeq lists it as uncharacterized. Lineage: Eukaryota; Metazoa; Chordata; Chondrichthyes; Myliobatiformes; Dasyatidae. The record is from RefSeq and is a predicted model, not a curated record. The transcript is spliced from 6 exons.